CUAUCUUAUUUAUGUUUAUCAGGUUUUCGAGUUAAAAGUUGACAUUAAUUUUACAAUAUAAUUGAAUGAAAGUAAUUUUCUCUAUCAUAGUGACACCUAGAAAAGAAUAGAUAAAUAGUUUAUUCGUGUGGGGUCUGGUAAAUGGCCGUAAAACGUUUGAUACUUUUGUGUUUUCGUAGUGUGGUGUGUGUAUGAAAUGGCACAUUUUCCACCCAAUUUUUAUAUCUCAGAGCAUAGAAACAUUUAGCUGCUGUGUAUGUGAUAUUAUUUGAUUUAAAGUUCUUGUUUUUUUAUUAGUGUAACGCAAAACUUGACUUCGUCUAAUUUAGACUCGCGUUCCGAAUGGAAUCUACACAUCCUACGUAAAUGCUAAAGAAACUUAAGCCUUUUUAGUCUAGUCGGCCUACGGCUACGACUCGAGCUGUGGCCCUUAUUUAACCAAGUACAGUUGGGUUUGGAAGUUACCGAAGGAAGACACCAUAUUUACAUGCUAGUAUGGCCCAAGAUAUUGACAUAGCAAGUCUACCUCCAGAUGUCAGAGACAAGCUUGCUGAGUUGGAACUGGAACUCUCAGAAGGAUUUGCAUUUAGAAUGAACAUCUGAAGUUUGAUGGAACUACUACUGUAUCUUUGACCUUGCCUUUUGACCCUAAAGUAUUUUGUAUGUGAAAUAUGUAAAGGUAUUUCUAUUUUUGUAGUUGAGUGGUAUGAAUUUAGUAUUAAAACAUCAAGCUUUGACCAUUUAUUACAAAUUCAUGAGGUGUUUUCAAAUGUAAAUGUACCAUUUAAUAACCAUAUAAAGAAAUAAAGGCUUA
Molecule: long non-coding RNA, 814 nt
Organism: Limulus polyphemus (Atlantic horseshoe crab)
Lineage: Eukaryota; Metazoa; Arthropoda; Merostomata; Xiphosura; Limulidae
Exons: 3
Source: RefSeq, a predicted model, not a curated record